GUUUGUGGUGUGCGUGUGAGGAGCUGGUAGCAAGAGUCUCAAGGAGCUGAGAGGAUGUGCUGUUGGAGGACUAAGGAGAGCAAGCGUUAUCAGACACCAGGAGGAAGGUCCUGUGAUCCAGGUUUGCACAGACAGCAAUUUUUCCUGCAGAGACCGUCAAAUGUGGUAGCCCUUGAGGAAAAGAUGCCGUUCUUGAGUGUUGUGUUUCUGGGUUUCCCACCCACCUUCACAUGGAUGCGAGGAGAUGAAAUUAUUCCUGUCAGAUCCAAAAAAUAUUCAUUACUGGCUGGCAGUAACUUACUUAUUUCUAAUGUGACUGAUGACGAUUCUGGGACGUACACUUGCAUUGUCAGCUACAAGAAUGAGAACAGUAGUGCCUCUGCAGAGCUCACAGUUAUGGUAAACCUACAUUUCCAAUCUACAAAGAAUCAAAUGCAGAAAUGGAAGAUAACUUCUGGAAUAAAAUGCUUAUUUAGCUUUGCUGAAAGAUGCUCAAUGGAAACCAACCAUGAAAUUAUACACAACUGCAGCUAUUUGUGGAUUGAGAAACACCUAUCGAUUAUGUGAAUCUUAUUUUUUUUUCUCGCAUAUAGUAGAUUAUAGGAUUCUAUGGCAUGGACCAAGGCUGAAAUUUCAAUGCUCUGCAGAGGAUUUGGCUAUCCAGUUUCCAUGAAAAUUAAUAGAAAUUUCACAUCCAAAUUCUUUCGGGUGUUGAAAAUCCCACCCCAUAUCUUUAUUCUCUGUAAUGCACUUAACUAUGGCUUGACUAUGACUCUAUAAUAAUGUUACGCUAAAAAUGCAUUGUAUAGAAUUAAUUUUGUAUUUAUUUUCAUGCUUAUACAGAGAGAAAUAUGUAACGAGGAGUGUAAUGCAAUUUUGGGGAUAAACUUGGAUUCAGAUAAUUCAGUGAUAAUGGUUAUAUAUGAAUGGUAGAAGAGAGGUUUCAAAAGGUGGCACUUGUUACUUAUUGAGCACCAUGAUUGAUUGGGACUAUACCAACAUAAAGGAUAGCACAAUCAUUGACACAAUGAAAAUGAAAUCUAAAUCUAACAAAGAAACAUGCACGUGCAUGCAAAAUACGUAAUAAAAAUGCACAAUACAAACAUUGUGCAUGCAAAAUAAAUCAAUUGUAUAUACAAAGUAAAGUGGGUGUGGUUUUUUUGCAUAAGUGUCUAGUCACAUAAGCUAAUGAAAUAUGGGUGUAAGUUUUGGAGGUACAAUUUUGAUAACCUUUAAAAGUUUGGUCAUUUAUUUUCAUAAGCAUGUAGCGUGGCAGAUUUAAAUUAACACCAUGUAUCAUAUUGCUUAGCAACAGGUAUUAUGUUUGUAUUGUUAUAGUGAAUAUGUAAAAGAUCCAACAAAAACUACACACCUACUAAUGGAGUGCAAUAGAAAUCCCCAUAUAUCCUUAUUUUCAUAAAAAUUGGACAUAUUUGUUAAAUUCAUCUCCAUAAGUAGGAAACUCUCUCUGAGAAGUUUACCGGAGUUGCUCAUAACAUUAGCCUAAUUUAUAG
RNA transcript from Mauremys reevesii (Reeves's turtle), 1514 nucleotides. It is a transcript of the gene named netrin receptor DCC-like, with no coding region annotated. The record is from RefSeq and is a predicted model, not a curated record. The transcript has 4 exons. Lineage: Eukaryota; Metazoa; Chordata; Testudines; Geoemydidae.